This 506-nucleotide ribosomal RNA is filed under the name uncultured bacterium. RNAcentral describes it as "partial 16S ribosomal RNA". It matches the Rfam family "Bacterial small subunit ribosomal RNA", at positions 30 to 523 of the family's 1533-position model. The record is from RNAcentral.
AUUGAACGCUGGCGGCAGGCCUAACACAUGCAAGUCGAACGGUAACAGGAAGCAGCUUGCUGCUUCGCUGACGAGUGGCGGACGGGUGAGUAAUGUCUGGGAAACUGCCUGAUGGAGGGGGAUAACUACUGGAAACGGUAGCUAAUACCGCAUAACGUCGCAAGACCAAAGAGGGGGACCUUCGGGCCUCUUGCCAUCGGAUGUGCCCAGAUGGGAUUAGCUGGUAGGUGGGGUAACGGCUCACCUAGGCGAGGAUCCCUAGCUGGUCUGAGAGGAUGAGCAGCAACACUGGAACGGAGACACGGUCCAGACUCCUACGGGAGGCAGCAGUGGGGAAUAUUGCACAAUGGGCGCAAGCCUGAUGCAGCCAUGCCGCGUGUAUGAAGAAGGCCUUCGGGUUGUAAAGUACUUUCAGCGGGGAGGAAGGGAGUAAAGUUAAUACCUUUGCUCAUUGACGUUACCCGCAGAAGAAGCACCGGCUAACUCCGUGCCAGCCGCCGCGGUAA